GUGGGGAAUUUUGGACAAUGGGCGCAAGCCUGAUCCAGCAAUGCCGCGUGCAGGAAGAAGGCCUUCGGGUUGUAAACUGCUUUUGUACGGAACGAAACGGUCCGGGUUAAUACCCUGGGCUAAUGACGGUACCGUAAGAAUAAGCACCGGCUAACUACGUGCCAGCAGCCGCGGUAAUACGUAGGGUGCAAGCGUUAAUCGGAAUUACUGGGCGUAAAGCGUGCGCAGGCGGUUUUGUGAGACAGGCGUGAAAUCCCCGGGCUCAACCUGGGAAUUGCGCUUGUGACUGCAAGGCUGGAGUGCGGCAGAGGGGGAUGGAAUUCCGCGUGUAGCAGUGAAAUGCGUAGAUAUGCGGAGGAACACCGAUGGCGAAGGCAAUCCCCUGGGCCUGCACUGACGCUCAUGCACGAAAGCGUGGGGAGCAAACAGGAUUAGAAACCCUGGUAGUCC
Molecule: ribosomal RNA, 450 nt
Filed under: uncultured bacterium
Lineage: Bacteria
Description: partial 16S ribosomal RNA
Rfam family: Bacterial small subunit ribosomal RNA
Source: RNAcentral